GGACGGGUGAGUAACGCGUGGGUAACCUGCCUUACACAGGGGGAUAACACCUGGAAACAGGUGCUAAUACCGCAUAAGCGCACAGGGCCGCAUGGCCCGGUGUGAAAAACUCCGGUGGUGUAAGAUGGACCCGCGUCUGAUUAGCUUGUUGGCGGGGUAGAGGCCCACCAAGGCGACGAUCAGUAGCCGGCCUGAGAGGGUGGACGGCCACAUUGGGACUGAGACACGGCCCAAACUCCUACGGGAGGCAGCAGUGGGGGAUAUUGGACAAUGGGGGAAACCCUGAUCCAGCGACGCCGCGUGAGUGAAGAAGUAUUUCGGUAUGUAAAGCUCUGUCAGCAGGGAAGAAAGAAAUGACGGUACCUGACCAAGAAGCCCCGGCUAACUACGUGCCAGCAGCCGCGGUAACACGUAGGGGGCAAGCGUUAUCCGGAAUUACUGGGUGUAAAGGGAGCGUAGACGGUGAUGCAAGUCUGGAGUGAAAGGCGGGGGCCCAACCCCCGGACUGCUCUGGAAACUGUA
Molecule: ribosomal RNA, 522 nt
Filed under: uncultured bacterium
Lineage: Bacteria
Description: bacterial SSU rRNA
Rfam family: Bacterial small subunit ribosomal RNA
Source: RNAcentral